UAGCCAAGACAAAAACUUAAAUUUUAUUGCCAUUUUCUGUAAUUUUCCAAGUCAAAAGGUUUUGUACUAUUUAAGUGUACACUUGCAAUGUCAAGGCAUACAUGGCUAUGGGAAGAAGUGCUGGAAAAUAAGAUUAGAAUAAUUAGGUGAGAUAACAAGGUAUAGAGCUAGAUCAACACAGCAGGCCAAGCACCAUCAGAGGAGCAGGAAAGCUGACGUUUCAGGUCUGGACCCUUCUUCAGAAGGUUGUUUUUGACUGACGCACGUUCCACAGGAUGAAGGACCUUUUUCUGUGUUGUAGACCUUUUUGAUCCUGUAAUGUACUUUUACAAAAACGUGAAUAAAGAAUAUUUUUGAAAAAAGAAGUCGUAGGAAAAUUGCUGGAAUCCAUUAUGAAGGAAACCUUAAUCAUACACUUCAAAAAUCAUAGUUGAAUCAAACAAUUUAUGAAAGGGAAAUGGUGGUUGGCAAAUUUAUUAAGACAUUUUCAGGAAGUAAUUAGUAAUACAGAUAAAGAAGAAUCAAUACAUGCAAUAUUUUACAGUUUCCAAAAUUCAAAAUGCACAGGCAUUGAGCUGAAGUCAUAUAUUAGCAGUAAUAGAUGCUUGGUUAAUGAGAGGAAAUAGAGAAUUGGAUAAGGAUAUUUCAAGUUGACAGGCUGUAACAAGUGCUGUGCUGGGAUACCAGCUUCUUGCAGUCUACAUUAAAUACUUGGACAGGGAGACCGAGAGUAAUAUAUUUAAGCCAUUGACAGUAUAAAAUUAGGUGGAAAUAGAAGUAUGGAGGAGGACAUAAAGAGGCUGCAAAGAUUAAAUGUAUAGGUAAUAAGGUAGCAGAUGGAGUAUGAUGUACAGAUGUAUGAGCUAUUCAUUUUGGUAAUAAGUUUUGUAAGUAUUUUUUAAAAUACGUAAAAUUUCAAAUUUUGAUUUCGUAACACUUGGGUACAAGACUAUAUGAAACAGGAACAGGAAUAGGUCUUUCACCCCUCAAACCUACUCUGCCAUUCAAUGGGAUCAUAGCUGAUCUGAUAUUCCCCACAUCCACUUUUCUACUCUUUCCCCAUAACCUUUGAUUCCCUUACUGAUCAGGAACCUAUCUAUCUCAGCCUUAAAUACAUUCAAGAACUCUGCUCCUCCAGCUCUCUGUGGCUAGAAGUUCCAAAGACUUGCAACCCUCUGAGAGAAGAGAUUUCUUCUCAUCUCAGCCUUAAAUUGGCAACUCUUUAGUUUGAGACAAUGCACUCUGCUCCUAGACAUUGCCAUAAGGGGAAACAUCCUUUCUGCAUUUACCUUGUCAAGCCCUGAGGAAUGGUAUAUGUUUCAAUGAGAUCACCUCUCACUCUUCUAAACUCCAGUGAGUGGACUCCUUAUCUGUUUAUCUUUUGCUCAUAUGACAAUCCAUCCACACCAGGGAUCAUCCUAGUGAACCUUCUCUGAACUGCUAACAAUUAAAUGUUGUCUUUCCUUAAAUAAGGGGACCAAAACUACUCACAGUACUCCAAAUGUAGUCUCACCAACAUCUCGUACAGUUGCAAUAAGACCUCCCUACUCUUAUACUCCAGCCCCCUUGAAAUAAGGGCUAACAUUCUAUUAGCCUUCCUAAUUACCUGUUGCACCUGUGUAAUUCUUUACUACAGGUGGUUGUUGAGGUACAAUCACUAAGGCGGAGAUAGGCAAAUUUGUAAUUCGUAAGGGAAUCAAGGUUUAUGGGGAAAAGGCAAGAGUUGAGGGUAUCAGAUAAGCCAGGAUCUCAUCGAUGGGUUGAAUGGCCUUAUCUUUUAUUACAUUUGGAUUGGGUUCCUAUAUUUAAGGAUAAACUUUGAUUGGAGACAGUAAAGCAGAUUCACUAGAUUGAUUUCUGUGAUGAGAGGGUCGUGUUGAAAAGCUGAGUCAUAUUCUCUGGAGUUCAGCAAAAUGAUGGGUGAUGAUGCAAGAUUUUUUUAGGGGUUGACAGUGUAGACACUGAAAAUGAUGUUUUAGCUGGUUGGGAAUCCAGAACAUUGGGUGGAUAAUUCAGAACUCAGACGGAACUCUGUACUCCGUACUCCACAGGGCAGAUGAGAUGGUCAAAUUUUUGGCCUCUGGGGGAAUCAAGGGAUAUGGCAAGCGGACAGGAAAGCAGACUUGAGGCAGUAGAUCAGCCAUAAUUAUAUUUAAUGGCAGAGCAGACUCAAGAAACAUUCUCCUGCUCCAUAUCGUACAUUCGAUCGGGGCCUGUUUUGUAAUCAAUUGGGCAUCAGUUGAACAUUUUGAUUUUUCUUCUGUUAUUCUACUUCCUGCCUUCAACCAGGCUAUAUCUUACACGAAGAUGUUUGCUGCCUUCUCUCCAGUCAGAUUCCAUGCUUAUUCUAUCACGUUAAUUCCCUGCAUGAUGCCUUUCAGAUUCUUCUCUCUUGCUCCAUGCCGUGGUUCUUUACAUUCUGGUCAAUUUCUUUUUCGUCGGGUUUGCUGCUCCAUUCGGUCGGGGUUUGUUCUCUGCCGAUAUUCUGCUGCGUUUGUCCGAGUCCUGGGGUAGUGGGCAGCCGCAGGUGUGAACGGAGCAGCCCGGGCCGCCAUCUUCCCGCUCCCCAGAUUCCGGCCGGACGGGAUUGACCGGCGCACACAGGAAGAUGGUGGCCCUCAGGGAAGUAGGAAGCAGCGGCCAAGGGACGAGGGAAAGAUAUACCAGGUUCCCAGAGAACGGCGGCUGCUUUCAAGAAUUGAAGUGCUCAGAUGACCGACAAGUGCAGAAAGUUGCGACUGUGUCGUGAGAUCUUCUGGAACUUGACAAGAGCUCUACAUUAUGAGAACAAAAAGCUGCACUUCUGAUGGAGCUGUAUCUUAGGAACGUAUACAAUUUGUAGCAUGGAAGCAGGCUAUUUGAUUGAAAUGAUACAUGCUCACAAAAGUCAUCUUCCCUUUUUAUUUAAUCCAGCUCUUUAACAUUGCCAUUUGUUCCUUUCUCCUUCAGUUAAGGCUGAGAAGCAUGCCGGUGCAGUUGAGGGAGGAUUGCACUUUUGGAAGUGCCAUUAUUUAGAUAAGAUAUAAACUCGGUGCUACCUGCU
Long non-coding RNA from Rhincodon typus (whale shark), 3043 nucleotides. RefSeq lists it as uncharacterized. The record is from RefSeq and is a predicted model, not a curated record. Lineage: Eukaryota; Metazoa; Chordata; Chondrichthyes; Orectolobiformes; Rhincodontidae. The transcript is spliced from 3 exons.